Hyla sarda is the source of this 1180-nucleotide long non-coding RNA. RefSeq lists it as uncharacterized. The record is from RefSeq and is a predicted model, not a curated record. The transcript is spliced from 3 exons. Lineage: Eukaryota; Metazoa; Chordata; Amphibia; Anura; Hylidae.
GGCAACUCAGCAACUAUUCUUCUGGACAGGUUUUGAUAAAUCUCCUCCUACAUGUAUAUUGCAGACAUAAGGAGACCACAUGGCGGUAGAGUGACACAGCCUGGAGAUGGCGGAAGCAUGAGGAGACCAUGUAGUGGCUGAAUGACACAGCUUGUAGUUGGCAGCAACAUGAGGAGACCAUAUAAUGGCUGAAUGACACAGCCUGGAGGUGUUGGCAGCAUGAGGAGACCAUAUAGUGGCAGAAUGACAGCCUGGAGUUGGCAGCAGCAUGAAGAGACUAUAUAGUGGCUGAAUGACACAGCCUGGAAGUGGCGGAAGCAUGAGGAGAUAAUAUAGUUGCAGAAUGAGACAGCCUGGAGGUGGCAGCAGCAUGAGGAGAACAUAUGGUGGCAGAAGGAGCCAGCCUGGAGCUGGCACCAGCAUGAGGAGAACAUAUGAUGGCAGUAUGAGACAGCCUGGAGGUGGAAUCAGCAGCAUCAGGAGUCCUGAAUGUGACCCGGUGACAUAGUGGGGCGGUGGGUGGCAAUACCAGUACCCGGUGACGAAGAUGGGUGAAAAAAGAAGAAUUUUGCAUCAGAUACGUGGCAUCAGGUACGCUUUAAAUCAAACAAAAGGAAAGGUGUCCAAAAAAACACCAUGUGCCACCUACAACACCAAGUAUUGAUGUGAUGCAAAGACCUCUAAAAGGUGGAAGGGAACAACGUACAGUGGGGAUCAAAAGUUUAGGCACCCCAGGUAAAAAUUUAUAUUAAUGUGCAGAAAGAAGCCAAGGAAAGAUGGAAAAAUCUCCAAAAUGCAUCAAAUUGCAGAUUAGACAUUCUUAUAACAUGCCAACAAAAGUUAGAUUUUAUUUCCAUCAUUUACACUUUCAAAAUAACAGAAAACAAAAAAAUGACGUCUGCAAAAGUUUGGGCACCCUGCAGAAUUUAUAGCAUGCAUUGCCCCCGUUUGCAAAGCUGAGACCUGCCAGUGUCAUGGAUUGUUCUCAAUCAUCAUCUGGGAAGACCAGGUGAUGUCAAUCUCAAAGGUUAAAAAUAGUGUUGCUCGCGAAUAUUCGCAAUGCAAAUUUUAUUUGUGAAUAUCGCAUAUUCGCGAAUAUAGUACUAUAUAUUCAUAAUUACGAAUAUUGUUUUUUUUUUUUUUUUCACAGUACACAUUACAGUGAUCACCCCUCUCUGCU